RNAcentral lists this ribosomal RNA (159 nucleotides) under Symphyotrichum anticostense. RNAcentral describes it as "5.8S ribosomal RNA". It matches the Rfam family "5.8S ribosomal RNA". From Rfam's summary of the family: 5.8S ribosomal RNA (5.8S rRNA) is a component of the large subunit of the eukaryotic ribosome. It is transcribed by RNA polymerase I as part of the 45S precursor that also contains 18S and 28S rRNA. Lineage: Eukaryota; Viridiplantae; Streptophyta; Magnoliopsida; Asterales; Asteraceae. The record is from RNAcentral.
CGACUCUCAGCAACGGAUAUCUCGGCUCACGCAUCGAUGAAGAACGUAGCAAAAUGCGAUACUUGGUGUGAAUUGCAGAAUCCCGUGAACCAUCGAGUUUUUGAACGCAAGUUGCGCCCGAAGCCAUUCGGUUGAGGGCACGUCCGCCUGGGCGUCACG